Molecule: ribosomal RNA, 465 nt
Filed under: Vreelandella stevensii
Lineage: Bacteria; Pseudomonadati; Pseudomonadota; Gammaproteobacteria; Oceanospirillales; Halomonadaceae
Description: partial 16S ribosomal RNA
Rfam family: Bacterial small subunit ribosomal RNA
Source: RNAcentral
CCUACGGGUGGCUGCAGUGGGGAAUAUUGGACAAUGGGCGAAAGCCUGAUCCAGCCAUGCCGCGUGUGUGAAGAAGGCCUUCGGGUUGUAAAGCACUUUCAGUGGGGAAGAAAGCCUUGGGGCUAAUACCCUCGAGGAAGGACAUCACCCACAGAAGAAGCACCGGCUAACUCCGUGCCAGCAGCCGCGGUAAUACGGAGGGUGCGAGCGUUAAUCGGAAUUACUGGGCGUAAAGCGCGCGUAGGCGGUCUGAUAAGCCGGUUGUGAAAGCCCCGGGCUCAACCUGGGAACGGCAUCCGGAACUGUCAGGAUAGAGUGCAGGAGAGGAAGGUAGAAGUCCCGGUGUAGCGGUGAAAUGCGUAGAGACCGGGAGGAAUACCAGUGGCGAAGGCGGCCUUCUGGACUGACACUUACGCUGAGGUGCGAAAGCGUGGGUAGUAAACAGGAUUAGAUACCCUAGUAGUC